GACGAACGCUGGCGGCGUGCUUAACACAUGCAAGUCGAACGGAAAGGCCUGCUUUCCCUUGUGGAUUGCGGGUACUCGAGUGGCGAACGGGUGAGUAACACGUGAGUGAUCUGCCCCCAACUUGGGUAUAAGCCUGGGAAACUGGGUCUAAUUCCCGAUAGGACUGCAGGGUGGUGCCUGUGGUGGAAAACGAUUUUCUAGUGGUUGGGGAUGAGCUCGCGGCCUAUCAGCUUGUUGGUGGGGUAAUGGCCUACCAAGGCGGCGACGGGUAGCCGGCCUGAGAGGGUGGACGGCCACAUUGGGACUGAGAUACGGCCCAGACUCCUACGGGAGGCAGCAGUGGGGAAUAUUGCACAAGGGGCGGAAGCCUGAUGCAGCGACGCCGCGUGGGGGAUGACGGCCUUCGGGUGGUAAACUCCUUUCGACCGCGAGGAAGCCACCUGGUUGGAAGGGUGGUGACGGUAGUGGUAGAAGAAGCACCGGCUAACUACGUG
Molecule: ribosomal RNA, 494 nt
Filed under: uncultured bacterium
Lineage: Bacteria
Description: partial 16S ribosomal RNA
Rfam family: Bacterial small subunit ribosomal RNA
Source: RNAcentral